Molecule: long non-coding RNA, 2198 nt
Organism: Triticum aestivum (bread wheat)
Lineage: Eukaryota; Viridiplantae; Streptophyta; Magnoliopsida; Poales; Poaceae
Exons: 7
Source: RefSeq, a predicted model, not a curated record
UUCAUCCUUCUUGUUCCUCUUAUUUUCUUGGUUGAUGUGCUAAUCGUUUUAGUCAUCUAGAAGAUGAUUGAAAAACUGUGACGAGAAAGGAGAGAUGGACUCGGAUAUUUUGCCUCGUCGUGUCGCAUGGUGGCCGAGAUGCGGCAGCCCCAUGCUCUGUUCCGAUGGGCCUCCUUUGCUUGAUGGUUGCCGCUGGUUGAGUUUGGUACGGUUUCUUGUUGUCGCUUGCAGCGAGCCUUGUGUCCGUCUCUCCUUCUUAUUGAUACUACUUCUCCUGUCACUAGCGCUUCUUCUUCUCGUCCGUCCUGCUGCUUACCCAACGUGCUUCUGCUUGCUGCCUCGGGUUGUAUGAUCUUUUCUGUCGCCGCGUUGUUCGACUCAUCAAGGAUCAGUGUGUUCUCGACUUGUUGUGUCUCUGCAUUCUCUCUUAGCGGUCAUGUUGGUUCCUGAGCACCAUUGAUUCUUUAACAUUGAAGAAUCAAAUUUGGUGCUCAGACCUGAAAUUCAAAAAGAAAGAAAGAAGCAUUUGCUAGGUUCAACAAAUGACGACCUUCGCUGCCAUUGUAAAAGGCCAUGCUGCACAAGUGUUUCGGGUUUCAAUUCAGGGAGGUGACACCUUGAUGAAAUAUUUGUUCUAUAGUAGGUUAGUACAGACUUAUUGGAUCAUACUUUCCACAAGUAUGUGAGUAUGUCCACCACAAUGAAUCAUAACCCUGAAUUGUUAUUAAAAAAACAUAUCUGUGAAACCUUACAUUUGUUACUGUUCCUGGCAUACAGUCCGUGCUUUUGUCUUCAGGAACUUUACAUCAUUAUCUUGUUUAAGCAUCCAGAAUAUAUAUCUUCAGUAACCUAUUUAACAAUGCUUUUUAGCUUUUUCCCAUGUUGUAACAUACUUCCUGUGCUGUGUGAUAAUCUACUGAUGGCCAGUUACAGCUCAAUUUCACCAUGGACAUUGCAUAUGAUGUUCUUUAUUCUCAGCGAAGCAAACAUCUCAUUUGUUUCUCAUACUAUUCUCUACAAAAACUAGGCGUUGCUGAAGCUGGAGUCAUGAUGGCGUUAGUAACCUUGGUGGCGCUUCUUAUACGACAAACCAACUGUCAGAUGUUGCAUAUAGGAGUAUUGUGGAGCUAAUAAUAUUUGAAUAUGAGCUAGCCUACUAUUUCAAUUUGAGUUCAAAAAUUACAAAUGUCAGUGUUUGUUUUCAGUUAUCAAUCUUCUUCCCUUCUCCUUUUUUGGGUCACUUUUGAUAGCUCCAUUCAUUCUGUACAUAUUAGUUGCCGCCUCAAGCCUUGGCUAUUUUCUAGACUAGGCCUCAAUUUGCUGGAAAAUGCAGUCUUCAUUUACUGAGUUAUAUUUUUGUCUUGCUUUCUUCCAGAUCCGUCAUACAGUAGUUUAGAAAAAAAUCUAUCCAAUGGUGAUGAUGCAUGAGGAGCAGCAAGGUCAUGAUCCAUGAAGCCCUAUGUUCUUUUCCUCACCGGUGAGUUUACCUUUUUAUGGUUGGAUGCCAAGUAGCCAAGCAGACGCUUUUUCGUAGAUUAGUUUGCUUAGUUUCAUAUGUUGAGCUGCGUUAUAGUUUCAUAUGUUGAGCUGCGUUAUCGAGUGCGGUGUGUAGGCUCUUUCUAGAUUGCUCAGCAGGCGAUCAACGCGACACAUGUGGAGGCUAUGAGAGCUAUGAAUGGCAUCGGUCUUGUCAUUCUUAUGAGCAGGAGCACGGGCCACAUUACUCUUCAUGCCACUCUAAGCAGCCAGAGGUGUUGACUGCUGCUUGUAUCCUGAGAUUGAUAUCCACGUUGAAGGGAAGGGAGACAUGUUUGAGUUCCUGUAUGAAAGGAUAAAGAAGAAGGGGCAUGCUGUCGUGGUUGUUGCUGAAGGCGUUGGUCAGGAGUUGAUUACCCGGAUUGAUGACCAGAGAGCAUGAUGUUCCUUGAUGUUGGCCUUCUUCUAUAAAGUUUACAUGCAAUUCUCCUCCAUGGUUAAGAAAAACCAAUUUAAACGUUUUGUUUCUUUGAUGGUUACUCAUUUCUCUUACCGUUGUUGUAUCAGAACAAUUGUAUUUUCGUUGAAGGCCACUUGGGCUCAUUUUUGAGGAGAAUGAGAUGUGCGAUAAACUACUCUGAAAUGUUUGGUUUGCUUCAAACAAUUUAUUAGCUAACUAAUUUUGGCUGCUAUUGCACAUAAUACAAUUGUACUCUAUUGUU